RNAcentral lists this ribosomal RNA (554 nucleotides) under Charmallaspis pulcherrima. RNAcentral describes it as "partial 16S ribosomal RNA". The record is from RNAcentral. Lineage: Eukaryota; Metazoa; Arthropoda; Insecta; Coleoptera; Cerambycidae.
UAAAUAAUUGCUUAAAAAUAAGUGUUCCCGAAUUUAGGAGAGUUAACUGAAUAUAUAUAUUAUUGUUGAAUAACUAUUUAUAAUAUUUAGUUAGUAAUGAAAUGUUAUUCGUUUCUAAAUAUAUCUGGUUUUCCGAGAAAUAGAUUUAAUCUACUUUGUAAUAAUAAAUUUGUUUAUUGUUUAAUUUAUUUAUUGUUCAAUUUUAUAUUUUGAGGGAUGAGCUUCAAAAUAAAAUAUUAAAAGUUUAUUUUGAUUUAUUGAAUUUUGUAGGAUUAGAAGUUUCUAUCAAGAGAGGAUGUAAUAUUUUAUCUCAAUAAAACUAUUAUUUAUAUAAAUUUUAAAUUUUUUAUCGGAAUGUUAAUUAACAUUAAUUUAGAUUAAGUAUUAAUGAUUAAAUUAGUAUAUUAGUAUCAAAUGUGUGUAUAUUGGAUUAUUUUAGGUUAAUAAAAGGAAUUCGGCAAAGAAUUUUUCGCCUGUUUAUUAAAAACAUGGCCUUUUGAAAUUAAUUUAAGGUCAGGCCUGCCCACUGAGGAAUUAAAUGGCCGCGGUAUACU